GUCUAUGCGGUCGCAUAGACCAAACCGUAUAUUAUUAUUAUUAUUUUUUUUAAAGAAAUAAAAUAGAAUAAAAUAAAAAGAGUGCCAUUUUUGUCAAAUAUUUUUUUUAUAAAUGCCUAAAAACCCGCAUUCUGAAAACUUAACCGAAACGAACAUCUUCGCACCUCGGAAUGCGUGACACACACUCGAACACCCAAACACUUCAUUUAGCACCCGUUCAUGCAACAUUAAACGUGUAGUGCCUAGGCUAUCAUGCAAAAUAUGAUCGAUGACCUAAGAAACAAACUAAAACCAAACAAAUUCCUAAACUAAUGCAAUGCAAUAAAAUAAAAUAAAGGAUACAGUGGGUUGCCUCCCACUCAGCGCUAUGUUAUAGUCGAUAGCUCGACUUUA
This 393-nucleotide long non-coding RNA is filed under the name Olea europaea (common olive). RNAcentral describes it as "long non-coding RNA (OEUR_LNC010170)". The record is from RNAcentral. Lineage: Eukaryota; Viridiplantae; Streptophyta; Magnoliopsida; Lamiales; Oleaceae.